UACGUAGGGGGCGAGCGUUGUCCGGAUUCAUUGGGCGUAAAGAGCUCGUAGGCGGCUUGGCAAGUCGGGUGUGAAACCUCCAGGCUCAACCUGGAGUCGCCACCCGAUACUGCCAUGGCUAGAGUCCGGUAGAGGCUCAUGGAAUUCCGGGUGUAGCGGUGGAAUGCGUAGAGAUCCGGAAGAACACCGGUGGCGAAGGCGGUGAGCUGGGCAGUUGCUGACACUGAGGCGCGACAGCGUGGGGAGCAAACAGG
Molecule: ribosomal RNA, 254 nt
Filed under: uncultured bacterium
Lineage: Bacteria
Description: partial 16S ribosomal RNA
Rfam family: Bacterial small subunit ribosomal RNA
Source: RNAcentral